GUCAGGAUGGCCGAGCGGUCUAAGGCGCUGCGUUCAGGUUGCAGUUUCCCCUGGAGGCGUGGGUUCGAAUCCCACUUCUGACA
Non-coding RNA from Danio rerio (zebrafish), 83 nucleotides. The record is from Rfam. Lineage: Eukaryota; Metazoa; Chordata; Actinopteri; Cypriniformes; Danionidae.